CCGGACCGGCGCACGGGUGAGUAACGCGUAUGCAACUUACCUAUCAGAGGGGGAUAACCCGGCGAAAGUCGGACUAAUACCGCAUGAAGCAGGGGCCCCGCAUGGGGAUAUUUGCUAAAGAUUCAUCGCUGAUAGAUAGGCAUGCGUUCCAUUAGGCAGUUGGCGGGGUAACGGCCCACCAAACCGACGAUGGAUAGGGGUUCUGAGAGGAAGGUCCCCCACAUUGGUACUGAGACACGGACCAAACUCCUACGGGAGGCAGCAG
Molecule: ribosomal RNA, 265 nt
Filed under: uncultured bacterium
Lineage: Bacteria
Description: partial 16S ribosomal RNA
Rfam family: Bacterial small subunit ribosomal RNA
Source: RNAcentral